This is a non-coding RNA of Saimiri boliviensis boliviensis (Bolivian squirrel monkey), 463 nucleotides long. The record is from the annotation of a RefSeq genome assembly. Lineage: Eukaryota; Metazoa; Chordata; Mammalia; Primates; Cebidae.
CAUCCCUCCUCUGAAGAAGCCCCAGUGGGCAGAACUCAUCACCAUGGACUGGACUUGGAGGAUCUUCUUCUUGGUGGCAGCAGCUACAGGUGUCCAGUCCCAGGUGCAGCUGGUGCAGUCUGGGGCAGAGGUGAAGAAGCCUGGGGCCUCCGUGAAGGUCUCCUGCAAGGCUUCUGGAUACACCUUCACCAACCACUACAUGCACUGGGUGCGACAGGCCCCUGGAAAAGGGCUUGAGUGGAUGGGAUGGAUCUACCCUGGUAAUGGUAACACAAAGUACGUGCAGAAUUUCCAGGGCAGAGUCACCAUGACUGCGGACAAGUCCACGAGCACAGCCUACAUGGAGCUGAGCAGCCUGAGAUCUGAGGACACGGCCGUGUAUUACUGUGCGAGAGACACAGUGUUAAAACCACAUCCUGAGAGUGUCAGAAACCCCAGUAAGGGGAAAGCUGUGCUGAGCUGA